Molecule: ribosomal RNA, 496 nt
Filed under: uncultured bacterium
Lineage: Bacteria
Description: partial 16S ribosomal RNA
Rfam family: Bacterial small subunit ribosomal RNA
Source: RNAcentral
AUGAACGCUGGCGGCGUGCCUAAUACCUGCAAGUCGAGCGAACAGACGAGGAGCUUGCUCCUCUGACGUUAGCGGCGGACGGGUGAGUAAUACGUGGAUAACCUACCUAUAAGACUGGGAUAACUUCGGGAAACCGGAGCUAAUACCGGAUAAUAUAUUGAACCGCAUGGUUCAAUAGUGAAAGACGGUUUUGCUGUCACUUAUAGAUGGAUCCGCGCCGCAUUAGCUAGUUGGUAAGGUAACGGCUUACCAAGGCAACGAUGCGUAGCCGACCUGAGAGGGUGAUCGGCCACACUGGAACUGAGACACGGUCCAGACUCCUACGGGAGGCAGCAGUAGGGAAUCUUCCGCAAUGGGCGAAAGCCUGACGGAGCAACGCCGCGUGAGUGAUGAAGGUCUUCGGAUCGUAAAACUCUGUUAUUAGGGAAGAACAAAUGUGUAAGUAACUAUGCACGUCUUGACGGUACCUAAUCAGAAAGCCACGGCUAACUACGUG